AGCACAUUGGGUUAGAGGAUAGAAUGAAAAGAAGAGGUAAACCUAAACUGACUUGGAGGAGAGUUGUAUAACAUGACCUAGAAGCAUUAUAUAUUCUCAAGGAUUUAACCCAAAAUAGUUUAGUUUGGAGAAAAAAAAUCCAUAUAGCCGACCUUAAAUUUUUGGGAUAAAAACUCAGUUGAGUUGAGCAUUAGAGCAAGUAUAUGAGAUACGUACAAUAACACAAAUUUACGAACUCAAACGAAAAACAGUAUUACACGACGUAUGUAAAUGAUUUCAGGGCUCAAAUACAAUGGCAAUCAGUGACACACAGAUUGCCGUGGCUUUUGGUAUAGUUCCCACAUAAAGUGAAAAAUUGACAACCCCAUUUUCAAUUGUAAUAUGGAAUAAUAAUAUAUUUCACUGACCACUAUUGUUUCUCUACAAUCUCCAUUAACAAGUAAUCCAAAAUUGAUCUCCUUAGCUGCCUUUUGUACUAUUUAUUUUAUUAUCCUAUUGAUUUGUUUUUCCAAUUCUUCAAGGCCACCAACUUCUUCAACUUCCUUAGGUCCCAGGAACAGCCCAUAUGGAACACCAUUGAAUUUAUCCGAGUGAUGGAGCUGGUGGGCAGCAGCUACCUUCCUGAAAUAGGGCACGUUCGCAAUGGGACCCACUGGGAAUCUCUUGUGAACAAGACCAUCGUGGACAAACAUGUAGGCCAUCCCAAACACUGUAAUUCCAAGACCCUGCUCCAAGUCAAAUAGUCAUUAUGAGAGUUUUUUAAGGGCAUUUUAGUCACAAAUUAAUUUUGUCAUUUACCAUUAAUUUUUAAAUGAUUAAACCGUUAAUCAAGGAGCAAAAUCUGAUCAAGAAAGAUAUUGGACAGAGAAACUGAAACUUACUGCCCCAAAGCAAAGACCAGGAAAGAGGCCUUUAUUGAAGAAGCCAUAGGAGAGAAGUCCUAUAGCUGGGACUGCAUUGGUUAUUGCAAAUACAUCAUUUAGCUCAAAUGGACCUUCUCUGGGUCGAUGGUGAGACUGCAAUCGAAAAGAAUUCUCAAUAAUCCUUUCUGUUUGGUUGCAAAGAAAACGCAAUAGAAAGAGAAGAAAAUGAGAAAUUUUAUUAAGUUCUUGUCCUGCCGUUUCUAAUAUGAUCCAAGAUUCAUACUCGAAAAUUUUAAAUUCUCCUUUUAUUAAUUACUCCUUGCAGUUCCAUUGAAUUUUGAAACAGGGAGGAGCAUAUCAAUUAUCAUACCUCGUGCAUAUGCCAUAAGGAAGCAUGCCAGAGAGCUCUAUGAGCCCAUCUUGCCCAAAACUCCAUCCCUACCUGAAACAAAAAACCCAAUUCGAUUCAACGUAAACAACAAGAACUACCCAAAUUGGAUAGAAAAGAAGGAAGAAAAUUGGAAAUCUGUACUUACAGCAGCGCCCACUGAGAGAGAAAAUGUGCCAAACAUUUCGAGCAAAGGCACCUCUCCACCCUACGCCAUAAAGUAUCCAAUUUCAGAAUACAUCUACAUGGAAACAUAAUUGUGAAACUAGAGAUAAAGAAGAAUAUUAUAAAGUACCUCCAUUUGCCAAUAGAACCUGUAGUAACAAGCCAUAACAGCCAUGGAAGUAAUCCCAAAACUCGACAUCACAGCAGCAACCAAGUAAGUAAACCUCUCAGACCUCUUCCUAGACAAUCUCUCCGCCACACGAGGCGUCAAGAUCUGGUAAUUUACUUCUUCGGACCGUUCUGGUUUAUGAUUCUCGAUCUGGACACUCUGUUUUGAGUCUUCGAGGACAAAACAGAUAGCGAAGCUGGUUUUCCUUCGACCAACACGAAAUAAACUGUGAUAUCGAGUUGGAGAAGGAAUUGAGAAAAGUGAAGUGGUUAUGGGCUUUGGGAAGAGAUUGGAAGCAUGGAUAUAAAGGAAGGGCUUGAAGACGGGCGCGGCGGAUAAUCCAGCAGCCAUCGAAGGGAGGUGGGUUAAACGCUUGAGAGCUUUCGAGCUUGAGAUAUAUACAGGGAGGGAGAGCGAGCGGGAGAGAGUGGGAGAGGGGUAGGCCAGUAGGGUGCUGGAGAGAGAGGUAUGUCGUGGUUGUGGAGAGGUUUUAGCGUGAACUGCGAGUUGUGGAGGGUUUGGAGCAAAUGGUUAAAUGCACGAAAACCACAUCUCUUUUUUUUGUUUGGGGGGUGGGGGGU
RNAcentral lists this unclassified non-coding RNA (2166 nucleotides) under Hevea brasiliensis (rubber tree). The record is from RNAcentral. Lineage: Eukaryota; Viridiplantae; Streptophyta; Magnoliopsida; Malpighiales; Euphorbiaceae.